RNAcentral lists this unclassified non-coding RNA (301 nucleotides) under Helicoverpa zea (corn earworm). RNAcentral's name for it is "uncharacterized LOC124631485, transcript variant X2". Lineage: Eukaryota; Metazoa; Arthropoda; Insecta; Lepidoptera; Noctuidae. The record is from RNAcentral.
UUUUGUUUAUUUUGUGUGUUUAAGUGACUUUUUGUGACUUGUUUUUGUUUCUGUGUAUUGUCCUUGUGUGCGUUUUUGAUUGUGAACGUUUUCCGUUUAGUUAAUGCCGUCCUACUAACUCAACAAGUCCUACAAGAAGAGAAAGCAAUUUCUUUUUUUUUUUCUUAAGUUUUAUUUCUUUCUUACAUUUUAUAAUAAUACAUACCUACUUGCUUCUCAUAUCACUUGUCAGUGGCAGAAUCGUCGACACCAACAUCGACGGCAUUGAUUGCCAGAAACAAAAAAUAGAAUAGAAUAGUUU